Molecule: ribosomal RNA, 246 nt
Filed under: uncultured fungus
Lineage: Eukaryota; Fungi
Description: partial 26S ribosomal RNA
Rfam family: Eukaryotic large subunit ribosomal RNA
Source: RNAcentral
GCAUAUCAAUAAGCGGAGGAAAAGAAACUAACAAGGAUUCCCGCAGUAACGGCGAGUGAAGAGGGAAGAGCUCAAAAUUGAAAUCAGACAGCUGUGCUGUCGGAAUUGUAGUCUAGAGAGCGAGGGAGGUGGUCAGUGGGGGUAGGCUAAGGACCCUGGAACGGGCUGCCGGAGAGGGUGAGAGUCCCGUGAGCCUAGACGACUGAAAACACAUGCCUUGUUCAAAGAGUCGAGUUGUUUGGGAAU